This 354-nucleotide unclassified non-coding RNA is filed under the name Hevea brasiliensis (rubber tree). Lineage: Eukaryota; Viridiplantae; Streptophyta; Magnoliopsida; Malpighiales; Euphorbiaceae. The record is from RNAcentral.
AGAAAAUGAUGAAGAAAGAACUCGUAUGAUCACCUCCUCAAGGCUCCUGAGGUACCAAUGAAGGUCCAUCUUAUGAUACCGAAGAUUGAUGAUGGGGUACAUAACUAGCUGACCAGGGCCAUGGUAAGUAACUUCACCACCACGUUCUGUUCGAUACAAUUCAAAAGGAGCCUUCUUUACAUCAAAAUGUAUAUUCUCUUCAGAGCUACCAGUACCCAACGUAUAAACCGGCUGAUGCUGCAACACAAUGAGUGUGUCAGCAAGAUCCUCAUUCCUUUCAAUUUGUGCUUUCCUCUCAUCAACAAUAGUCUUUUGCCAGGACCAUGCUUUAGCAUAUGGAACUAACUCUUUGUA